UUAGGGGCUCCAUACCAAGGCAAUAACAGCAGAAAACAAUCCUUUUUUGGUGUUUUAUUUUAGGUAGUUAAAGGGUUAACUCCGACUCAACAAGUUCAUCAGGGUCAAUGUUAGUCACUAAAGAACCUGGAAACAUCGACACGCACACACUCCUUUCACAAACCUUCUUUUGGGGACAGAGAACUCCCCCUCCCACCAUCAUCUACUGAAUGUGGUGAAGGGAGGAGGACAUAUUGUUAUUUCACUGAUCACAUUUUGGAUCCAUAGUGGCGUGGGGCUGCAGGUCAGCUCCACUCAGUUCUGCUGAACAGGAACCAGCUCCUAAAUCUGUGCCAGCAGCGUCACUUCCAGCUUCUCCUCUGCUCUUUGUGCUGUCAUGUCAACGGAAACCUUUGUGACUCCCAGCAAGUCAUUGACCUGAAAGACUCGCUUUCCCCGCUGUUCCUCACUGAACUGCGUCCCUUCAUGAGAGCCGGAUGGAGGAGCGAUGGCGUCGUCAUGAGAAGAGCGGGGAACUUUCUAAAUAAACUGGAUUUGACGAUCACAAGCAAACCAGUUUAAAGAGCAAAGAGGAGAUUUCAGAAGAAAACAAACGCAGUGUCUGCAGGGAUGUUAACAUAGGAUCUGCUGCUGGAGGUUUCACAAAUCUGGAGGAUUUCUUUGUUUCCUGAUUCACAGUUUUGUGAAAAUUCACAAGAAAUCCACGAGCAAGAAGGAGGAUUCAGACUGAGAUGUUUGUUGAAGCAGCUGCAUCUGAGAGCAGAGACCCAGUUUCCAGCAGAUCUGAGCGGGAGCUGCAGCUUUUUCCACCAGAGAGGUCAAACAAACCCCCAGAAAAGAGGAAUAACAAAGAACUGCAGGAUCUUUCAUAUGCGGGCCUGCAGUCGGAACAGUCCAUCUCUGCGUGACACCAGAUCUAAUGUCGUCUGAGUUUGAAAGCAGCAGCUGACGCUGACGGAGCUGCUCUGCUGGCUGAUGUGAGGAGCCCGGAGAACAGGUUUCAUCUGGAUUUCUGGACCCGUCUCGUUGUUUUUUCAAUGUCAAACGUAUUUUUGCAGCACAUCUGAAAGCAGAUCAAAGUCAAACCUCAAACAGCUUUCCCACAGAAAUACAAACAAAUGCAAUCAAAAGAAGAAUGUUUCUAACAUUUCAAAAUAUGAUUUCAUUUAGAUCAAAUGCAGCAAAAAUAUAGUGAUAUCAAAAUGUAUAAAAAUUUAUCUAAAAAUUAUUGUAAUUAUAAAUAUUAAUUAAUAUCAAUAAAAUAAUCUAAGAGGAAUUCUUACGAAAUAAAAAAAAGAAAAAUAAUUUAAAAAACACUAAAAAUGUGUUUUAAAUGACCAUGUAAUAAUUUUAAAUAAUAAUAGAGGGCUGAUGAGUGUUUCUGUACAUUCACACGCUCACACAAAUGCAUGAAGGCUAUAAAAAUACAAGUCUAUAAAUAUAAAUAUAAAAUAAAACUGUUCAAGUAAAAAAAAAAAAAA
This is a long non-coding RNA of Oryzias melastigma (Indian medaka), 1481 nucleotides long. RefSeq lists it as uncharacterized. The record is from RefSeq and is a predicted model, not a curated record. NCBI's taxonomy places the organism in Eukaryota, Metazoa, Chordata, Actinopteri, Beloniformes, Adrianichthyidae. The transcript has 2 exons.